UGGGGAAUUUUGGACAAUGGGCGAAAGCCUGAUCCAGCAAUGCCGCGUGUGUGAAGAAGGCCUUCGGGUUGUAAAGCACUUUUGUCCGGAAAGAAAUCCUUGGCUCUAAUACAGUCGGGGGAUGACGGUACCGGAAGAAUAAGCACCGGCUAACUACGUGCCAGCAGCCGCGGUAAUACGUAGGGUGCAAGCGUUAAUCGGAAUUACUGGGCGUAAAGCGUGCGCAGGCGGUUUGCUAAGACCGAUGUGAAAUCCCCGGGCUCAACCUGGGAACUGCAUUGGUGACUGGCAGGCUAGAGUAUGGCAGAGGGGGGUAGAAUUCCACGUGUAGCAGUGAAAUGCGUAGAGAUGUGGAGGAAUACCGAUGGCGAAGGCAGCCCCCUGGGCCAAUACUGACGCUCAUGCACGAAAGCGUGGGGAGCAAACAGGAUUAGAUACCCUGGUAGUCCACGCCCUAAACGAUGUCAACUAGUUGUUGGGGACUUCAUUUCCUUAGUAACGUAGCUAACGCGUGAAGUUGACC
Molecule: ribosomal RNA, 523 nt
Filed under: uncultured bacterium
Lineage: Bacteria
Description: partial 16S ribosomal RNA
Rfam family: Bacterial small subunit ribosomal RNA
Source: RNAcentral